UGACCCUCUAAAGUGCCUUCUAAGAGGAACCUUCUAUCAUAGAAGACAGUGAAGGAUGAACAUGCAAAAAUAAACUCACCUACUUCACAAUGGCCCAGAGCCAGCUUUCAAUACAUUUCUAGAGUCAUCCUACAGCUUAAGGAAGAAAAUCACUCUAGGACUUACUGUAGGGAAGCAGAGGGAAGGGCGUUUACCUGCCAAGCUGACUCAGUUCCAUCUGCCUCCACCUGCAGGUGCAGUCAUCAGCACACAGUGGGGUGACUUCCAACCCUGGGCAGCUGGCUUAGGACUUUAAACAAGAGAAGAUAGUUGCUGGAAGGCGGCCCUGUAAGACCAGUGGCUCCUAUGAGCCAAGUGCAGAGGAAUCUGCCAGGAAAGGUGACAAGGACACCAAAAGCCAGGUAUUCAACCACGGCAAGGCUUAACAAUUUCUCUGGCAGACAGGAGCAAAUCUGGUGUGCCUGAACUGAAGCAGAAGAAAAACAUGAGCCCUCUUUUCUGGGCUACUUAUUGUAUCUUGAAUAAAAGGAACAUUGUUACGAAUAGCAAGCUGAA
Non-coding RNA from Rattus norvegicus (Norway rat), 555 nucleotides. NCBI's taxonomy places the organism in Eukaryota, Metazoa, Chordata, Mammalia, Rodentia, Muridae. The record is from RefSeq and is a predicted model, not a curated record.